UAACCGAGCCCUAAUCAAAUCGCUGCCUUCCUCCUUCUAAUCAAACCGCCCAUCACUCGAACAAUUUCCGAUUCGGGUGGUUGGUGUGUGGUUUCUCAUUGGACUCCUCCUGAGGCUUGAUUGAGUCGACGAAGUGAGACGAUGGAACUUAUGCCACGAAAAAAGUUCUCAUUCAGAAUAGCGAACAGUUGGAGUUGGUGAAGGAGGAGAUCCGAGUUUCAUCACUUUUCACUCAUCCUAAUCUUGCUUCCACUUCUUGAUCAUGUCAUUAUUUCUGUUAAGCUUUCUGUAUAGGUGAGAGAUGAGUUUCUAUGGAGAACUUGCGAAUAGGGCUGUGGAGACUGAUAUGCCGGUCAUGGUUCAGGUAUUGAGGCCAAAACUCCCACUGGGUUUUUGUUAAAGUUUUUGAAUUUAUUCUGUUAUGAGGUUCAGUUUUGGUGUGAGUUUUAAUAAGUUUGCCAAUGAUAAUGGUUCAAUCAGUCUUAUGAUUCUGCAUAUGUCAUGUAUAAGUCAGAUGGUAAUCCAUGCUCAAGAAUUUAAAAAAAAAAACGUCAAGUUAUGUCAUGCUUGGGUGUAGAAUGGCGAGCAUCUCCAUGGUUACAGUUCUGAGGAGGUUAAGGUAUGUCAAGUGUCUCUUUGAGUGCUCUAUCCUGGUAUAAACAGAAUUCUAUCUUUCUUGAAGCAAAUGCCGGUAAUGUUUUAUCAAUCAUGGGCCAAUAAUCUUAAUUAUCUUUAUGCAUGGAACCUCAAAGUGGGUACCGC
Long non-coding RNA from Rosa chinensis, 762 nucleotides. RefSeq lists it as uncharacterized. The transcript is spliced from 3 exons. The record is from RefSeq and is a predicted model, not a curated record. Lineage: Eukaryota; Viridiplantae; Streptophyta; Magnoliopsida; Rosales; Rosaceae.